Molecule: long non-coding RNA, 659 nt
Filed under: Gallus gallus (chicken)
Lineage: Eukaryota; Metazoa; Chordata; Aves; Galliformes; Phasianidae
Source: RNAcentral
CGGGAGGAUAGGUUGUUCAGUUUACUACUGGAGACCUGACUGUGACUGAGCGUCGGGAAAACAUUUUUAAGGGAGGAAGGAAUUGCUGCGGCAGCAUCUCCGAGUCUCUCUCCUUUUUCUCCUCUGAGUUACAUAGGAUAACUUGGCCAGAACUUACUGAUGACUGCACGGCCAGCGGAGCCGGGAAUGGGAAAUGCAGGAAGGCGCUCUUUGGCAGGAGCAGAAGAGGAGGCAUUUCAAAGAUCCUGCAGGUGACCGAGGUGGUGAUCUGCUGCUAGAAUAAAUAAAUUUCAGGAAGUGCCAAGGCUGCUCAGCCAUUUACUGUGAUAUCACUUCUACAUAAGGAACUUACCAACUUUCUCCAAUUAUCUCCUCUAUUACGGUAAGUAUUUAAGAUGCGUGAUUUUCUGUGUCAGGAGUUUUUCUGUGUCAGGAGUUCUAGAAAGUAAGAAUGAGGUGAGUUCUGGAAGGUCCAACUCCAGUCCUAAAUUUUGCUGGCAGAACUAGAAUUUUAGUAUAAGCACGUUAAACAUAUGUAAGUUUUGGUAAGGCUGUGGAUUAAUUGCAGUUGUCAGUAUCUGCAGCUUGUAUUUUUCUCAUCUCUAUGAAGUGGACCACAUUUGCAGAGUGUGUAAGAUUUUUCUACUUGUCUUAUUACC